GGAAUCUAACUCAGUUGGCAAAGUGCUUGCCUUGCAUGCACAAGGUUCUGGGUUCAAUCCCUAGGACCA
RNAcentral lists this transfer RNA (69 nucleotides) under Marmota monax (woodchuck). RNAcentral describes it as "tRNA.Ala". The record is from RNAcentral. Lineage: Eukaryota; Metazoa; Chordata; Mammalia; Rodentia; Sciuridae.